RNAcentral lists this ribosomal RNA (422 nucleotides) under uncultured bacterium. RNAcentral describes it as "bacterial SSU rRNA". It matches the Rfam family "Bacterial small subunit ribosomal RNA", at positions 355 to 775 of the family's 1533-position model. The record is from RNAcentral.
UAGGGAAUAUUGGGCAAUGGCCGAGAGGCUGACCCAGCCAUGCCGCGUGCAGGAAGAAGGCGCUACGCGUUGUAAACUGCUUUUUUUCGGGAAGAAAAAGCUUCUGCGGAAGUCACUGACGGUACCGAAGGAAUCAGCACCGGCUAACUCCGUGCCAGCAGCCGCGGUAAUACGGAGGGUGCAAGCGUUGUCCGGAUUCAUUGGGUUUAAAGGGUGCGCAGGCGGGACAUUAAGUCAGGGGUGAAAGACGGUUGCUCAACAAUCGCAGUGCCUUUGAUACUGGUGUUCUUGGGUGACGGUGAGGUAGGCGGAAUGGGUGGUGUAGCGGUGAAAUGCAUAGAUACCACCCAGAACUCCGAUUGCGAAGGCAGCCUACUGGUCGUUAACCGACGCUCAGGCACGAAAGCGUGGGGAUCAAACAG